UGAGUAACGCGUGAGGAACCUGCCUUUCGAGGGGGACAACAGUUGGAAACGACUGCUAAUACGGCAUGAUACAUCGAAGCCGCAUGGCUUUGAUGUCAAAGAUUUAUCGCCGAAAGAUGGCCUCGCGUCUGAUUAGCUUGUUGGUGAGGUAACGGCUCACCAAAGCGACGAUCAGUAGCCGGACUGAGAGGUUGGCCGGCCACAUUGGGACUGAGAUACGGCCCAGACUCCUACGGGAGGCAGCAG
This 246-nucleotide ribosomal RNA is filed under the name uncultured bacterium. RNAcentral describes it as "partial 16S ribosomal RNA". It matches the Rfam family "Bacterial small subunit ribosomal RNA", at positions 107 to 354 of the family's 1533-position model. The record is from RNAcentral.